GACGAACGCUGGCGGCGUGCUUAACACAUGCCAGUCGAACGGAAAGGCCCUGCUUGCAGGGUACUCGAGUGGCGAACGGGUGAGUAACACGUGGGUGAUCUGCCCUGCACUUCGGGAUAAGCCUGGGAAACUGGGUCUAAUACCGGAUAGGAGCCAUUUUUAGUGUGAAGGUUGGAAAGUUUUUUCGGUGUAGGAUGAGCUCGCGGCCUAUCAGAAUGUUGGUGGGGUAAUGGCCUACCAAGGCGGCGACGGGUAGCCGGCCGGAGAGGGUGGACGGCCACAUUGGGUCGGAGAGACGGCCCAGACACCUACGGGAGGCAGGCGGGGGGAGUAUUGCUCAAGGGACGCAAGCAUGAUGGAGCGGCGCAGCGUGGGGGAAGACGGCCUUCGGGUUGUAAACUCCUUUCUCUAGGGACGAAGCUUUUUGUGGCGGUACCUAGAUAAGAAGCACCGUCUAACUACG
Molecule: ribosomal RNA, 463 nt
Filed under: uncultured bacterium
Lineage: Bacteria
Description: partial 16S ribosomal RNA
Rfam family: Bacterial small subunit ribosomal RNA
Source: RNAcentral